RNAcentral lists this ribosomal RNA (472 nucleotides) under uncultured bacterium. RNAcentral's name for it is "partial 16S ribosomal RNA". It matches the Rfam family "Bacterial small subunit ribosomal RNA", at positions 355 to 819 of the family's 1533-position model. The record is from RNAcentral.
UGGGGAAUUUUGGACAAUGGGCGAAAGCCUGAUCCAGCAAUGCCGCGUGUGUGAAGAAGGCCUUCGGGUUGUAAAGCACUUUUGUCCGGAAAGAAAUCCUUGGCUCUAAUACAGUCGGGGGAUGACGGUACCGGAAGAAUAAGCACCGGCUAACUACGUGCCAGCAGCCGCGGUAAUACGUAGGGUGCAAGCGUUAAUCGGAAUUACUGGGCGUAAAGCGUGCGCAGGCGGUUUGCUAAGACCGAUGUGAAAUCCCCGGGCUCAACCUGGGAACUGCAUUGGUGACUGGCAGGCUAGAGUAUGGCAGAGGGGGGUAGAAUUCCACGUGUAGCAGUGAAAUGCGUAGAGAUGUGGAGGAAUACCGAUGGCGAAGGCAGCCCCUUGGGCCAAUACUGACGCUCAUGCACGAAAGCGUGGGGAGCAAACAGGAUUAGAUACCCUGGUAGUCCACGCCCUAAACGAUGUCAACUAG